CCUACGGGAGGCAGCAGUAAGGAAUAUUGGUCAAUGGACGCAAGUCUGAACCAGCCAUGCCGCGUGAAGGAUGAAGGCCCUCUGGGUUGUAAACUUCUUUUACAGGGGACGAAAAAAGGGAAUUCUUUCUCACUUGACGGUACCCUGGGAAUAAGCACCGGCUAACUCCGUGCCAGCAGCCGCGGUAAUACGGAGGGUGCAAGCGUUAUCCGGAUUCACUGGGUUUAAAGGGUGCGUAGGUGGGCAUUUAAGUCAGUGGUGAAAUCUCCGGGCUUAACCCGGAAACUGCCAUUGAUACUAUUUGUCUUGAAUAUUGUGGAGGUAAGCGGAAUAUGUCAUGUAGCGGUGAAAUGCUUAGAUAUGACAUAGAACACCCAUUGCGAAGGCAGCUUACUACGCAAAUAUUGACACUGAGGCACGAAAGCGUGGGGAUCAAACAGGAUUAGAUACCCUGGUAGUCCACGCCCUAAACGAUGGAUACUCGACAUCAGCGAUACACAGUUGGUGUCUGAGCGAAAGCAUUAAGUAUCCACCUGGAAGUACGACCGCAAGGUUGAAACGUUAAAGAGUAGUAGACGUGAGAGUAGCGACGAGACACCAGGAGGAGGAGG
RNAcentral lists this ribosomal RNA (611 nucleotides) under uncultured bacterium. RNAcentral's name for it is "bacterial SSU rRNA". It matches the Rfam family "Bacterial small subunit ribosomal RNA", at positions 338 to 953 of the family's 1533-position model. The record is from RNAcentral.